GAACGCACCUUGCGCUCUUUGGUAUUCCGAAGAGCAUGCCUGUUUGAGUGUCAUGAAAAUAUCAACCCUCUAAUGUUUUUGCAUUGAAGGCGUUGGUAGUGAGCGCUGCCGGUCUUUGGGUCGGCUCGCUUUAAAAUAAUUAGCUGGAUCCAUUCUGACCUGGUUCUACUCGGCGUAAUAAGUUAUUAUCGUCGAGGACGCCUAGCCUUCUAGGCAGGCGGCCACAGUAAGGGUGUUUGAACCGCUUCCAACACGUCUUGCUCUUGUAGCAAACACUUGAACCUCUGACCUCAAAUCAGGCAGGACUACCCGCUGAACUUAAG
Molecule: unclassified non-coding RNA, 323 nt
Filed under: uncultured Geminibasidium
Lineage: Eukaryota; Fungi; Basidiomycota; Geminibasidiomycetes; Geminibasidiales; Geminibasidiaceae
Description: sequence contains 5.8S rRNA gene
Rfam family: 5.8S ribosomal RNA (bases 1-53)
Source: RNAcentral